GUGGGGAAUCUUCCGCAAUGGACGAAAGUCUGACGGAGCAACGCCGCGUGAGUGAUGAAGGUCUUCGGAUUGUAAAGCUCUGUUAAUCGGGACGAAAGAGCCUAGUGUGAAUAAUGCUAGGAAGUGACGGUACCGGAAUAGAAAGCCACGGCUAACUACGUGCCAGCAGCCGCGGUAAUACGUAGGUGGCAAGCGUUGUCCGGAAUUAUUGGGCGUAAAGCGCGCGCAGGCGGAUCUGCCAGUCUGUCUUAAAAGUUCGGGGCUUAACCCCGUGAUGGGAUGGAAACUACAGAUCUAGAGUAUCGGAGAGGAAAGUGGAAUUCCUAGUGUAGCGGUGAAAUGCGUAGAUAUUAGGAAGAACACCAGUGGCGAAGGCGACUCACUGGCCCAAUACUGACGCUGAGGCGCGAAAGCGUGGGGAGCAAACAGGAUUAGAUACCCGAGUAGUCC
This 450-nucleotide ribosomal RNA is filed under the name uncultured bacterium. Its description in RNAcentral is "partial 16S ribosomal RNA". It matches the Rfam family "Bacterial small subunit ribosomal RNA", at positions 354 to 796 of the family's 1533-position model. The record is from RNAcentral.